UCCGGUUGAUCCUGCCGGACCUGACUGCUAUCGGAUUGAUACUAAGCCAUGCUAGUCUUUGUAGUAAUACAAGGCAUACGGCUCAGUAACGCGUAGUCAACCUACCCUAUGGACGGGGAUAAUCUCGGGAAACUGAGCAUAAUACCCGGCAGACCACUUAUCCUGGAAUGGUUAGUGGUUAAAAUGAUUCGUCGCCAUAGGAUGGGACUGCGGCCUAUCAGCUUGUUGGUGAGGUAAUGGCCCACCAAGGCGAUUACAGGUACGGGCUCUGAGAGGAGAGGCCCGGAGAUGGGUACUGAGACAAGGACCCAGGCCCUAUGGGGCGCAGCAGGCGAGAAAACUUUGCAAUGUGCGAAAGCACGACAAGGUUAAUCCGAGUGAUUUCUGCUAAAGGAAUCUUUUGUUAGUUCUAAAAAUACUAGUGAAUAAGGGGUGGGCAAGUUCUGGUGUCAGCCGCCGCGGUAAAACCAGCACCUCAAGUGGUCAGGAGGAUUAUUGGGCCUAAAGCAUCCGUAGCCUGUUCUAUAAGUUUGCGGUUAAAUCUAUACGCUCAACGUAUAGGCUGCCGUAAAUACUGUAGAACUAGGGAGUGGGAGAGGUAGACGGUACUCGAUAGGAAGGGGUAAAAUCCUUUGAUCUAUUGAUGACCACCUGUGGCGAAGGCGGUCUACCAGAACACGUUCGACGGUGAGGGAUGAAAGCUGGGGGAGCAAACCGGAUUAGAUACCCGGGUAGUCCCAGCUGUAAACGAUGCAGACUCGAUGAUGCAAUGGCAUAGAGCUAUUGCAGUAUCGCAGGGAAGCCGUUAAGUCUGCCGCCUGGGAAGUACGUACGCAAGUAUGAAACUUAAAGGAAUUGGCGGGGGAGCACCACAAGGGGUGAAGCCUGCGGUUCAAUUGGAUUCAACGCCGGA
RNAcentral lists this ribosomal RNA (913 nucleotides) under uncultured marine archaeon. RNAcentral describes it as "bacterial SSU rRNA". It matches the Rfam family "Archaeal small subunit ribosomal RNA", at positions 1 to 922 of the family's 1478-position model. The record is from RNAcentral.